RNAcentral lists this ribosomal RNA (433 nucleotides) under uncultured bacterium. Its description in RNAcentral is "partial 16S ribosomal RNA". It matches the Rfam family "Bacterial small subunit ribosomal RNA", at positions 29 to 507 of the family's 1533-position model. The record is from RNAcentral.
AACGAACGCUGGCGGCAUGCCUAACACAUGCAAGUCGAACGAGACCUUCGGGACUAGUGGCGCUCGGGUGCGUAACGCGUGGGAACCUGCCCUUAGGUUCGGAAUACCUCCCCUUAGGGGGUGCUAAUACCGGAUAAUGUCUUCGGAUCAAAGAUUUAUCGCCUUUGGAUGGGCCCGCGUUGGAUUAGCUAGUUGGUAGGGUAAAAGCCUACCAAGGCGACGAUCCAUAGCUGGUCUGAGAGGAUGGGCAGCCACACUCGGGCUGGGAAACGGCCGAGACUACUAGGCGAGGGAGGAAAGGGUGAUAUAGCAAUAUCGGGGGAAUCCUGAACCAGCAAUGCUGGGAGAGUGAUGAAGGUCGGAAAGAUGUAAAGCUCGUUUACCCGGGGCGGUAAUGACGGUACCGGAAGAAUAAGCACCGGCUAACUCCGUG